Oreochromis aureus is the source of this 563-nucleotide long non-coding RNA. RefSeq lists it as uncharacterized. Lineage: Eukaryota; Metazoa; Chordata; Actinopteri; Cichliformes; Cichlidae. The transcript has 2 exons. The record is from RefSeq and is a predicted model, not a curated record.
UCUCCCAAGACCAACGGGGAGGUGGCACAAGGGGCUGCAAACUCUAUUUUUGAGCUUAGGGUACAUGCUGUCUCUGCAUUUUUUAGGCCUUGGGAUUAACUUGGGUGUCUUUGUAAUCCAUCGUCGGGGCGACGAUGCAAAAAGGAGGGGUAGAUUGUGGCAGGAUGAAUGGUAUCCCUCGGUCCAACCCACUUUCAGCCUGGCGCAUUAGGGGGCGCUAGUAUAAAUAGUGGCCAUUUGAGUGUCCCUGGAUCGCUUGCCUGUGACCUCCUUUUUGGUCACCUGACUUCCUGUUGGUGUUGCUGAGAUUAGUUGCGGGUUACUUUUCUGAAGCCUCCAUCGCAGCUGGUAGGUGUUUACUCAUUGUAGUGUAUAUAUUACUUUGCUUGAUGGUAAACAGCUAUUGUUUGUAGGUCGUAGCUGUAGAAGCCUCCUCUGAGCCAUUCUGCUUACGUUUUAUGACACGGCUUACUUGAUGCGGAGUGCUGACGUGGAGGAGACUAGGGUGCCUUGGUGGUGGGAUCCUCUGAGUGUACACACCUGCCUUGUUUAAUUUAUUAGUG